AGAGUUUGAUCCUGGCUCAGAGUGAACGCUGGCGGCGUGCCUAACACAUGCAAGUCGAACGAGAACGGGUAUUAGUUUACUAAUACUGUCAGCUAAGUGGCGCACGGGUGAGUAAUAUAUAGUUAAUCUGCCCCAAAGAAGAGAAUAAUUGUUGGAAACGACUUGUAAUGCUCUAUAUGCCUUUAUCACAUAAGUGAGCAAGGGAAAUAUUUAUAGCUUUGGGAUGAGACUGUACGGUAUCAGAUAGUUGGUGAGGUAAUGGCUCACCAAGUCUAUGACGCCUAACUGGUUUGAGAGGAUGAUCAGUCACACUGGAACUGAGACACGGUCCAGACUCCUACGGGAGGCAGCAGUGGGGAAUAUUGCACAAUGGAGGAAACUCUGAUGCAGCAACGCCGCGUGGAGGAUGACACAUUUCGGUGCGUAAACUCCUUUUAUUAGGGAAGAUAAUGACGGUACCUAAUGAAUAAGCACCGCUAACU
RNAcentral lists this ribosomal RNA (482 nucleotides) under uncultured bacterium. RNAcentral's name for it is "bacterial SSU rRNA". It matches the Rfam family "Bacterial small subunit ribosomal RNA", at positions 8 to 502 of the family's 1533-position model. The record is from RNAcentral.